UAACAGUCUACAGCCAUGGUC
This 21-nucleotide non-coding RNA is filed under the name Oreochromis niloticus (Nile tilapia). Its record names the gene oni-miR-132a. Lineage: Eukaryota; Metazoa; Chordata; Actinopteri; Cichliformes; Cichlidae. RNAcentral also lists the same sequence under 6 other names. The record is from miRBase by way of RNAcentral.